This 970-nucleotide ribosomal RNA is filed under the name Elmohardyia atlantica. Its description in RNAcentral is "partial 28S ribosomal RNA". It matches the Rfam family "Eukaryotic large subunit ribosomal RNA", at positions 1469 to 2322 of the family's 3401-position model. The record is from RNAcentral. Lineage: Eukaryota; Metazoa; Arthropoda; Insecta; Diptera; Pipunculidae.
AAUCGAAUGAGACCUUGGAGGACUGAAGUGGAGAAGGGUUUCGUGUGAACAGUGGUUGAUCACGAGUUAGUCGGUCCUAAGUUCAAGGCGAAAGCUGACAAUUUUCAAGUUAUAAAAAAUUAUUAUAUUAUAUUAAUUAAUAUACUUGAAUAUUUUGAACGAAAGGGAAUACGGUUCCAAUUCCGUAACCUGUUGAGUAUCCGUUUGUUAUUAAAAGUGGGCAUUUUGCUCAUCCUGGUAACAGGAACGACCAUAAAGAAGCCGUUGAGGGAUAUCGGAAGAGUUUUCUUUUCUGUUUUAUAGUCGUACUACCAUGGAAGUCUUUCGAAGAGAGAUAUGGUAGAUGGACUAGAAGAGCAUGACAUUUACUGUUGUGUCGAUAUUUUCUCUUCGGACCUUGAAAAUUUAUGGCGGGGUCACGGAAACUUCUCAACAGGCCGUACCGAUAUCCGCAGCUGGUCUCCAAGGUGAAGAGUCUNNNNNNNNNNNNNNNNNNNNNNNNNNNNNNNNNNNCAAAUUAGAUCCGUAACUUCGGGAUAAGGAUUGGCUCUGAAGAUUGAGAUAGUCGGGCUUGAUUGGGAAGCGAUACCAUGGUUUAUGUGCUCGUUCUGGGUAAAUAGGAAUUUUCGGAUUUCGUUCCCCGGAUAGUAGUUUACGUAGCCAAUCGUGGAACUUUCUUGCUAAAAAUCUUUUAGAGUUAUGUUGAAAGAUAAUAAAUUUUAUUUGAUUUAUAACGACUAUCAAUUAACAAUCAAUUCAGAACUGGCACGGACCUGAGGAAUCCGACUGUCUAAUUAAAACAAAGCAUUGUGAUGGCCUUAGCUGGUGUUGACACAAUGUGAUUUCUGCCCAGUGCUCUGAAUGUCAAAGUGAAGAAAUUCAAAUAAGCUUGGGUUAACGGCGGGAGUAACUAUGACUCUCUUAAGGUAGCCAAAUGCCUCGUCAUCUAAUUAGUGACGCGCAUGAAUGG